Molecule: ribosomal RNA, 443 nt
Filed under: uncultured bacterium
Lineage: Bacteria
Description: partial 16S ribosomal RNA
Rfam family: Bacterial small subunit ribosomal RNA
Source: RNAcentral
CCUACGGGUGGCAGCAGUGGGGAAUAUUGGGCAAUGGGCGCAAGCCUGACCCAGCAACGCCGCGUGAAGGAAGAAGGCUUUCGGGUUGUAAACUUCUUUUCUCAGGGACGAAGAAAGUGACGGUACCUGAGGAAUAAGCCACGGCUAACUACGUGCCAGCAGCCGCGGUAAUACGUAGGUGGCAAGCGUUAUCCGGAUUUACUGGGUGUAAAGGGCGUGUAGGCGUGGAAGCAAGUCAGAUGUGAAAACCACGGGCUCAACCUGUGGACUGCAUUUGAAACUGUUUUUCGUUAGUACUGGAGAGGCAGACGGAAUUACUAGGGUAGCGGGGAAAUGCGUAGAUAUUAGGAGGAAAACCAGUGGCGAAGGCGGUCUGCUGGACAGCAACUGACGCUGAGGCGCGAAAGCGUGGGGAGCAAACAGGAUGAGAUACCCUAGUAGUC